UACUCAAAAAAAGAAUUUAAGUUCAACCUAAAAUUAUCUAAAUACAAUUAAACAGCAACAAUAAUUUUAGAGCAAUUCAAAUAAGGUACAGCCUAUUUGAAAAAGGACACAACCUAAACCACUGGGUAAUUUUAAAUUCACGCUCAACGAAGUGGGCCUAAAAGCAGCCAUCUUUCAAAAAGCGUCAAAGCUCUAUUGAGCUAUCAACCAAUUACAAUAUCACCUAAGAACCCUUAAACAAUAUUGAGUAAUUCUAUAUCAAUAUAGAAGAUUUUAUGUUAAAACUAGUAACAAGAAGAAGAACUUCUCCUAUAAUGCAAAUAUAAAUCAGUCAGGACACCCCACUGAUAAUUAACACUAAUGAAAAUAAAGUAGUAACUUAACAAGAAAACUCUACUAAAUUACAUGUUAACCUAACACCAGAGCAUUACAGGAAAGAUUAAAAGAAAGAGAAGGAACUCGGCAAACAUUAACCUCGCCUGUUUACCAAAAACAUCGCCUCUUGCCACAAAUAUAAGAGGUCCAGCCUGCCCAGUGACUCUGUUCAACGGCCGCGGUAUCCUAACCGUGCGAAGGUAGCGUAAUCACUUGUUCUCUAAAUAAGGACUAGUAUGAAUGGCACCACGAAGGUUAUACUGUCUCCUCUUUUUAAUCAGUGAAACUAAUCUUCCCGUGAAGAAGCGGGAAUAAACAUAUAAGACGAGAAGACCCUAUGGAGCUUUAGACUAUGUAACACUUGCACUAACCCAUACAAAUUUCAGAAAUAAACCUCUUUACUUAUGCAAGACUGCUACCAGUUUUAGGUUGGGGUGACCACGGAGCAAAAAACAACCUCCACAUUGAAAGGAGUUUACUCCUUAGCCAAGAACCACAUCUCCACGCAUCAUUACAAUGACAUUAAUUGACCCAAUAUAUUGAUCAACGAACCAAGUUACCCUAGGGAUAACAGCGCAAUCCACUUCAAGAGCCCCUAUCGACAAGUGGGUUUACGACCUCGAUGUUGGAUCAGGGUAUCCCGGUGGUGCAGCCGCUACCAAAGGUUCGUUUGUUCAACGAUUAAAACCCU
Molecule: ribosomal RNA, 1066 nt
Filed under: Cochranella erminea
Lineage: Eukaryota; Metazoa; Chordata; Amphibia; Anura; Centrolenidae
Description: partial 16S ribosomal RNA
Rfam family: Bacterial large subunit ribosomal RNA
Source: RNAcentral